Molecule: ribosomal RNA, 379 nt
Filed under: uncultured soil bacterium
Lineage: Bacteria
Description: bacterial SSU rRNA
Rfam family: Bacterial small subunit ribosomal RNA
Source: RNAcentral
AGAUUGAACGCUGGCGGCAUGCCUAACACAUGCAAGUCGAACGGGAGUAGCAAUACUCUAGUGGCGGACGGGUGAGGAAUACGUAGGAAUUUGCCCUUAAGUGGGGGAUAACCCGGGGAAACCCGGAUUAAUACCGCAUGACCUCGAAAGAGCAAAGUGGGGGAUCGCAAGACCUCACGCUUUUGGAGAAGCCUACGUCGGAUUAGCUAGUUGAUGAGGUAAUGGCUCACCAAAGGCGACGAUCCGUAACUGGUCUGAGAGGAUGAUCAGUCACACCGGAACUGAGACACGGUCCGGACUCCUACGGGAGGCAGCAGUGGGGAAUAUUGGACAAUGGGCGCAAGCCUGAUCCAGCAAUGCCGCGUGUGUGAAGAAGGCC